This 726-nucleotide ribosomal RNA is filed under the name uncultured organism. RNAcentral describes it as "bacterial SSU rRNA". It matches the Rfam family "Bacterial small subunit ribosomal RNA", at positions 722 to 1460 of the family's 1533-position model. The record is from RNAcentral.
CAGCUUGCUAAACUGUAACUGACGCUGAUGCACGAAAGCUUGGGGAGCGAACAGGAUUAGAUACCCUGGUAGUCCACGCUGUAAACGAUGAGCACUGGUUGUUGGCAAUACACCGUCAGCGACUGAGCGAAAGUAUUAAGUGCUCCACCUGGGGAGUACGUCGGCAACGAUGAAACUCAAAGGAAUUGACGGGGGCCCGCACAAGCGGAGGAACAUGUGGUUUAAUUCGAUGAUACGCGAGGAACCUUACCUGGGCUUAAAUGUAGAGUGCAUUGUUUGGAAACAAACAUUUUCUUCGGAACUCUUUACAAGGUGCUGCAUGGUUGUCGUCAGCUCGUGCCGUGAGGUGUCGGGUUAAGUCCCAUAACGAGCGCAACCCCUAUUGUUAGUUACCAGCACGUAAUGGUGGGGACUCUAGCAAGACUGCCGGUGUAAACCGUGAGGAAGGUGGGGAUGACGUCAAAUCAGCACGGCCCUUAUGUUCAGGGCUACACACGUGUUACAAUGGCAAGUACAAAGAGCAGCCACCUGGCGACAGGGCGCUAAUCUCAAAAGCUUGCCUCAGUUCGGAUCGAAGUCUGCAACUCGACUUCGUGAAGGUGGAUUCGCUAGUAAUCGCGCAUCAGCCAUGGCGCGGUGAAUACGUUCCCGGGCAUUGUACACACCGCCCGUCAAGCCAUGGAAGCUGGGGGUACCUGAAGUCCGUAACCGCAAGGAUCGGCCUAG